This 572-nucleotide long non-coding RNA is filed under the name Anas platyrhynchos platyrhynchos (common mallard). RNAcentral's name for it is "lncRNA (ENSAPLG00000018652.1)". The record is from RNAcentral. Lineage: Eukaryota; Metazoa; Chordata; Aves; Anseriformes; Anatidae.
GGGGUCAGGAUUUUGGGGUCCCCUCUGUCAAUGGGGUCUGGGUUUUGGGGUCCCCAUGGGCAUUAGGGUGGGGGUCCCAGGUUUUGGGGUCCCCAGGGGCUUUAGGGUCAGGAUUUUGGGGUCCCCUGGGCCAUUGGGAUCCAGGUUUUGGGGUCCCCUGGGGUAUUGGGGUGGGGGUUUUGGGGUCCCUUUUGUCAAUGAGGUUGGGGUUUUGGGGUCCCCUGGGUAUUGGGGUGGGGGUUUUGGGGUCCACUUUGUAAAUGGGGUCAGGAUUUUGGGGUCCCCUGGGCAUUGGGAUCCAGGUUUUGGGGUCCCCUGGGGUAUUGGGGUGAGGAUUUUGGCGUCCCCUUUGUCAAUGGGGUCUGGGUUUUGGGGUCCCCAUGGCCAUUAGGGUGGGGGUCCUGGAUAUUGGGGUCCCCCCUGGGCAUUGGGAUCUGGAUUUUGGGGUCCCCUGGGUAUUGGGGUCCUGGGUUUUGGGGUGAGGAUUUUGGGGUCCCGUACCCAUCUCGGCGCUCCAUGUUUGGGGUGGGGGCGCCCCCAGGAAGCAGUGAGCGGCCGUCAGCACCCAGCGG